GGGUUCGAUUAAAGCCGGGAUUGAAGACCUUUGGCGGGAUGCUUUACACAUGCAAGUCGAACGGCAGCACGGACUUCGGUCUGGUGGCAGGUAUGAACAGGUGAGUAAUGUAUCCGGAACGUGCCUAUUAGCGGGGGAUAACUACGCGAAAGCGUAAUAAUACCACGCCGCGCCCUUCGGGGAAAAGCAGGGGACCUUCGGGCCUCGCACCUUAGAGCAGCCGAUAUCGGAUUAGCUAGUUGGUGGGGUAACGGCUCGCAAGGCGACGAUCCAUGUAGCUGGUUUGAAGGACGACCAGCCACCUGGGACUGAGACACGGCGAACUCCUACAGGAGGCAGCGGUGAUUUUGGACAAUGGGGAAGCCUGAUCAGCCAUCCCGCGUCUGUUACGUGAAGGCCUUCGGGUUGUAAAGCAACACUGGCAGGAAAAACAGCUGGGAUAAUACCCCGUGCAACUGACGGUACCUGCAGAAUAUACACCGGCUAACUACGUGCCAGCAGCCGCGAUAUACGACCGGGGUUGCAACGUUAAUCGGAAUUACUGGGCGUAAAGCGUGCGCAGGCGGUUUCGGGAAAGAUGUGAAAUCCCAGAGCUUAACUUUGGAACUGCAUUUUUAACUACCGAGCUAGAGUGUGUCAGAGGUGGAAUUCCGCGUCGUGGCAGUGAAAUGCGUAGAUAUGCGGAGGAACACCGAUGGCGGAAGCAGCCUCUGAUGUUUAUUCUGACGCUCAUGCAAAAGCGUGGGGAGCAAACCAGGAUUAGAUGCCCUGGUAGUCCACGCCCUAAACGAUGUCAACUAGCUGUUAUGGGGCCUUCGGGCCUUGGUAGCGCAGCUAACGCGCAAGUUGACGCGCAAGGGUACGGUCGCAAGAUUACAACUCAAAGGAGAUGACGGGGACCGCACAGGCGGUGGAUGAUGUGGAUUAAUUCGAUGCAACGCGAAAAACCUUACCUACCCUUGACAUGUCUGGAAUCCCGAAGGGUGGGAGUGCUCGCAAGGAGCAGAACCUAGGUGCUGCAUGGCUGUCGUCAGCUCAUUCAUCUGUGAAUGUUGGGUUAGAAUCCGCAACAGGCGCAACCAUAUCGUGGUGCUACGAAAGGGCACUCUAAUGAGACUGCCGGUGACAAACCGAGGAAGGUGGGGAUGACGUCAGAGUCCUCAUGGCCCUUAUGGGUAGGGCUUCACACGUCAUACAAUGGUCGGACAGAGGGUCGCCAACCCGCGAGGGAGCCAAUCCCAGAAACCCGAUCGUAGUCCGGAUCGCAGUCUGCAACUCGACUGCGUGAAGUCGGAAUCGCUAGUAAUCGCGGAUCAGCAUGUCGCGGUGAAUACGUUCCCGGGUCUUGUACACCUGCCGUCCACCAUCGGGAGUGGGGUUUUACCAGAAGUAGUUAGCCUAACCGUAAGGGCGAUUACUACGAUGGAUAUGACUGCGAGGUGAUGGCAAGGUAAG
This 1455-nucleotide ribosomal RNA is filed under the name uncultured Bordetella sp. Its description in RNAcentral is "partial 16S-23S ribosomal RNA intergenic spacer". It matches the Rfam family "Bacterial small subunit ribosomal RNA". Lineage: Bacteria; Pseudomonadati; Pseudomonadota; Betaproteobacteria; Burkholderiales; Alcaligenaceae. The record is from RNAcentral.